GCGACCUCAGGUCAGGCGGGACUACCCGCUG
RNAcentral lists this ribosomal RNA (31 nucleotides) under Avena canariensis. RNAcentral describes it as "partial 26S ribosomal RNA". The record is from RNAcentral. Lineage: Eukaryota; Viridiplantae; Streptophyta; Magnoliopsida; Poales; Poaceae.